Molecule: ribosomal RNA, 256 nt
Filed under: uncultured bacterium
Lineage: Bacteria
Description: partial 16S ribosomal RNA
Rfam family: Bacterial small subunit ribosomal RNA
Source: RNAcentral
UACGGGGGGGGGCAAGCGUUGUUCGGAAUUACUGGGCGUAAAGGGUUCGUAGGUGGCCAACUAAGUCAGACGUGAAAUCCCUCAGCUUAACUGGGGAACUGCGUCUGAUACUGGUCUGGCUUGAGUGCAGGAGAGGAACGCGGAAUUCCAGGUGUAGCGGUGAAAUGCGUAGAUAUCUGGAGGAACACCGGUGGCGAAGGCGGCAUCCUGGACCGGUAUUGACGCUGAGGAGCGAAAGCCAGGGGGAGCAAACGGG